AUCCAAACACCACGUUCCUGCUUAACAGAAAUUGGUCAGUAUGCGCUUAAUGCUCAUAGUGUGGCGUCCGGACACGCAGCAAGAGAAAAACGCAAUAACCUGGUCCGUCAGCGUUCCUUGCUUCAGCAGGCCUUAAAUAUGUGCUGCAUCUUUUGGGGGACGUUACUUAAGAGGCAAACAUCUGGCUCGAAGUCUUCCAUUAUUUUCAGCAAGCAUUUAGGAGGUGACUGCACUAUAAGGAGAAUAACCCACAGUAGCACAGGUUGGGAGUCUGCACAGUGCCGAGGCCAGCUCAGUCUUCACUAUUCGAACGAAGGAAGCCUGGGGCAACUGUUUGUUUUCUCUGCCCUGCAUGUUAGUUGCCCGUUGUUUUUGGAGAAAAAACUAGUAUCGGGGUAUAUAGGUGGAAAAAUUUGGAUUUGGCAGCUUGAAGCCUUUUUUGCGACAAGCUUAGGUUAGGAAGGGAUAGAGGGGAGGAAAGAAAAAAUAAUUUUCCACCAUAGUAGAUCUGCGAAAGCAGACCUUCUGUUUGUCCUCUUAUCUAUUGUCUUUCCCUCACCCCUCACCCCCCACCCCUUGUCUCCUAAAAACCAGUCCAGACUUUCCCCGCCACCUCCGUCCUUGUAGCAGAUAACGUUGCUCCUUCCUUCAUGGAUAAAUUGAAGGCCAACAGACAAAAACUUUUCAACUCUUUGCUGCUCUCCCCGCUCUAAAUUUAUCUUUACACCUUCAGAGAAGAGCACCCUUCUGUUUUCCCCUCCUACCUCAAACCCAGUAGGUCAAAAUUCUUCCGUCAAUCAUUUUUACCCAUCCUAUCUCCCUCUUUCAUUUAUACAGAUUCCAAGCUGCCUUUCUUCUUCUAAAAAAAAAAAAAAAAAAAAAAGCAAAAAAACUCCUUUGACCUUGCCUGUCUUUCUAAAUGAAAUCUGUCUGUUGUUUUCAUGGCUGCACUUCUUGAAACCAUGUUCUACAAUUGCCACAUUUGCUUCUUAACCUUCUAUCUUCAGUCCAUAGCCCACCAAUCCACUGAAACUAUUCUAGCUAAGGCUACGAUACCCAAGCCUCCUAAUUGGCAGGUCUAAGGGACCCUUUCUGACAUAGGUGAUGUAAUUUACCACCAAUCUCUGUCACUUGUGACUGCUGUUUCCUCCCUGAACGUUUCUUCUCCCUGGUUCUUGUUCACAGCCCCUGAUAUUUCCUCCCAGGCUCUCUCUUCUGCCCACCCAGCAAAUGUUUUUGUUCCUUACAGUUCCCUCCUAAAUGUUCUCUGUUCUCUCACCGUGUUCUUCAUGAGUGAUGUAAUCAAUUCUCAAGGCUCUCAAA
RNAcentral lists this long non-coding RNA (1323 nucleotides) under Pan troglodytes (chimpanzee). RNAcentral describes it as "lincRNA". The record is from RNAcentral. Lineage: Eukaryota; Metazoa; Chordata; Mammalia; Primates; Hominidae.